AGCUGAUCGAUGCGGACCUCCCUCCCGGUUCGCGUUCCAGCUGUUCCCCUCUGGAGGUUUGACCUCCACACCUCAAGGGCCGCGGCUUCCGCUGGCCCUUUUUU
Molecule: small RNA, 104 nt
Filed under: Pseudorhizobium pelagicum
Lineage: Bacteria; Pseudomonadati; Pseudomonadota; Alphaproteobacteria; Hyphomicrobiales; Rhizobiaceae
Description: Alphaproteobacterial ar15
Rfam family: Alphaproteobacterial ar15
Source: Rfam by way of RNAcentral